RNAcentral lists this ribosomal RNA (253 nucleotides) under uncultured bacterium. Its description in RNAcentral is "partial 16S ribosomal RNA". It matches the Rfam family "Bacterial small subunit ribosomal RNA", at positions 524 to 776 of the family's 1533-position model. The record is from RNAcentral.
UACGGGGGGUGCGAGCGUUGUCCGGAAUUACUGGGCGUAAAGGGCUCGUAGGUGGCCAACUAAGUCAGACGUGAAAUCCCUCAGCUUAACUGGGGAACUGCGUCUGAUACUGGAUGGCUUGAGAUUGGGAGAGGGAUGCGGAAUUCCAGGUGUAGCGGUGAAAUGCGUAGAUAUCUGGAGGAACACCGGUGGCGAAGGCGGCAUCCUGGACCAACACUGACACUGAGGAGCGAAAGCCAGGGGAGCAAACGGG